GGGGGGGGAGCAAGCGUUGUUCGGAAUCACUGGGCGUAAAGGGCGUGUAGGCGGGGCAGGGCAAGUCGGGACGUGAAAACUCCAGGCUCAACCUGGAGCCUGCGUUCGAAACUACUUGUCUUGAGUACGGGAGAGGAAAGUGGAAUUCCUGGUGUAGCGGUGAAAUGCGUAGAUAUCAGGAGGAACACCGGUGGCGAAGGCGGCUUUCUAGCCCGAUACUGACGCUGAGACACGAAGGCUAGGGGAGCAAACAGGAUUAGAUACCCUGGUAGUCCUAGCGGUAAACGUUGGGCACUAGGUGUUGUCCUUAACCGGGGCAGUGCCGCAGUUAACGCACUAAGUGCCCCGCCUGGGGAGUACGACCGCAAGGUUG
Molecule: ribosomal RNA, 373 nt
Filed under: uncultured organism
Description: partial 16S ribosomal RNA
Rfam family: Bacterial small subunit ribosomal RNA
Source: RNAcentral